AAUAGAUACCCAGGUAGUCCACGCCGUAAACGUUGGAUACUAGGUGUGGCGGUCUUACCAACGACUGCCGUGCCGAAGCUAACGCAUUAAGUAUCCCGCCUGGGGAGUACGGCCGCAAGGCUAAAACUCAAAGGAAUUGACGGGUCCCCGCACAAGCGGCGGAGCAUGCGGCUUAAUUCGAUGCAACCCGAAGAGCCUUACCUGGGUUUGACAUCACGGGAAAAGCUGUAGAAAUACAGUGUCCAUUAGGGCCCGUGACAGGUGGUGCAUGGCUGUCGUCAGCUCGUGUCGUGAGAUGUUGGGUUAAGUCCCGCAACGAGCGCAACCCUUGUCCUAUGUUGCCAGCGGUUCGGCCGGGGACUCAUAGGAGACUGCCGGGGAUAACUCGGAGGAAGGUGAGGACGACGUCAAGUCAUCAUGCCCCUUAUAUCCAGGGCUGCACGCAUGCUACAAUGGCCGGUACAACGGGCAGCGAUCCCGCGAGGGUGAGCGAAUCCUAAAAAGCCGGUCCUAGUUCGGAUUGAAGUCUGCAACUCGACUU
This 541-nucleotide ribosomal RNA is filed under the name uncultured bacterium. Its description in RNAcentral is "bacterial SSU rRNA". It matches the Rfam family "Bacterial small subunit ribosomal RNA", at positions 777 to 1318 of the family's 1533-position model. The record is from RNAcentral.